CGUCUAGGCGGGCCAGCCAGUCAGGUGUGAAACCCCCCGGCUCAACCGGGGAUCUGCACUUGAUACUGCUGGUCUUGAGUACGGAAGAGGAAGGCGGAAUUCCUGGUGUAGCGGUGAAAUGCGUAGAUAUCAGGAAGAACACCGGUGGCGAAGGCGGCCUUCUGGUCCGAUACUGACGCUAAAGCGCGAAAGUGUGGGGAGCAAACA
This 207-nucleotide ribosomal RNA is filed under the name uncultured bacterium. RNAcentral describes it as "partial 16S ribosomal RNA". It matches the Rfam family "Bacterial small subunit ribosomal RNA", at positions 568 to 774 of the family's 1533-position model. The record is from RNAcentral.